UUUCCACUCCUCUUCUGGGACUCCUUUCUCCCUGGCUUCUGGAGGCUGGGAGGCUGGGCCAUUCUAAACCAGCCAAUCCCUGUCAAGCCUGGAUGCCUCCUCCCUGCCUGGGAAAGUGGCCAAGAUGGGGGUAGAAUUAGCUUGGUGCAGGGACGAAUCAUCAUAGACCGGCAAAACAUGACUCUUAGGACUAUUGCGGGACAAGGUUGAUGCUGAGUUACGUAUUCCCAGCGUUCCAGCUCCUCUGUGGAUGUGGUACACUAAGUAAAAGGGUGAAUUUGGGAAUCCACAAUCAGAAUCUGACCAGCCUGGUCCCCAUCAUCUCCUGAGCUUCUGCCCAAAGGACUGUGAGGAUAGCAGGCACUGUUUUCCAGUGAGAAGGCUGUGGGACUGAAGAGUCUGCCCACCAGUUGCUCAGCCUGGUGGAGCGCAAGUCCUGUCUUCACAGCAGAAACAAGACUUUCUGGCGCACAAAGAAAUCCCAAUUGGGGUUUCUGAGUCCAAAGCUAGGGAUCAAGAAUACAGCUGAGACUGGGGUGGUUAGAGCUGGGCAGUAUGGUGUUCCUUGUGGAGUGAAGGAGAGCUUGAGCAGAUAUGAGAUCCAGGGAAAGGAAGCCAGGACAGGAACUCAAACAGGGCAGGAUCCCGGAGACGGGAGCUGCUGAGAGGCCUCAGAGACGUGCUGCUUACUGGCUUGCUUCCCUUGGUUUGCUCAGCCUGCUCUCUUAUAGAACCCAGGACCAUCAGCCCAGGGAUGGCACCACCCACAAUGGACUGGGCCCCCCUCACUGAUCACCAGUUGAGAAAAUGCCUUACAGCUGGCUCUCAUGGAGGCAUUUCCUUGACCGAGGCUCCUUCCUCUCUGAUGAUUUUAGCUUGUCUCAAGUUGACACACAUGAACCAACCACUACAGGAAAGUACUACAUUAUGCAGCAUCUUCUCCAUAAAAUGUGCUUACUGUACACUGGACGACCGUGGUGCAUUCCUCUGGACAGGCUUAUGAGGCUACUUUCUGGAAAGAUGAACUGGAGAGGAAGAUCCUCCCCUAGAAGGCAGCACUUUCUGACUGCAGCCCCGAUAUAAAGAGACCUGAAGGAAAACAAGCAGUGUUGCCUUUUCCUGCCCGCCUUCAUGCCUUGUUGGCGAGUGGAUCCACUCGGAAUCUGCUGCUGUUUGUGGACACUGGAAUCUAUAUUCGCCAUUCUUCCAGUAUGUACUGAAGACCGAUGGUUCUUCAGGUACCCGCCAGGUUUUGAACUGCUGAGGCAUCCAGCUUCACGGACUGAGCAAGUACAAGGUUCUCAACGUCACCAUACAGAUUCAGGCAGAAUUGUGGAAGACAUGCUGCACCCCUUAGUAACGUGUUCUCAUUGUAUUGGCUGUUCCUCUAAAGGACUGUGAUGACCAUGAUAGUAUAAAGUGUGUCUGUCCAUUCUUGCAUUCAGGCAACCUCAAGGGGUAAGUUUUCCACCGUGCACUCCUCAGCAGUCUGGACCAGAGUCCUGAUGUCACGGGGGUGGGGGGUGGGGGGACGCAAGUGAUGGCAUCCAGAGGAGAAAAGAAUAUUUAUUUAAUAGAAGAACUAACAAGCCCCUGCCCAGAUCACACGAUCCCCCCUGAACCACCCUGGACUUUGUCCAGACUUACUCUGUGAUUGGUUCCAGAGAGCAAAUGCUCAAAGAGUCAGACUCCUAGCAGGGCGGCUACCAGAGAGGGUAUGUGGGUAGAGUCAGGGUUUCUGACGCUGUAGGAUGUUAGGAACGGCCUCACCUCCCUCUACCUGCUCAUCGUCAUCUCAAUUCAGUCAGCAAGAGCAUCAGGAGGCUGCCUCUAGAGCCCUCAGAAGGGUGGUUUGUGCGCCUUCCCCAAAUCCCCACCGCAGUCAGGGAACCCAUCUCUUUCGUGCCUGCUGUUCUCAAACUGUCCUACAGAGGGAGCAUUCUCCAAGAUCAGGAGACAAACAGGACCCACACUAACCCUGCGGAGUCUUCUAAGAUUUACAUAGGCAUCUGUAGGAGUUCAGGGAUCGGCAAACCCCGGUCCCCCAACUCUUCAUGAGCAUUGCGAUGCUAGGCAGAAUCUUCAAAGCCUGUUCAGAGCCGGAAAUGAAAUGUAGCAAUUACUCUAAGAAACAGUUUGCUCCACCAUAAAGCAAAGAAUGAAGUAUUUCCUGGUGAAAAGAACCAUUUUUUAAAACUGAUGGGCACCAUAAAAAAUGCACUCGGUUGUUCAAAAUAUGUGCAAGACAUCUAUAAUGAAAACCUCAAGGCACUGGUGCGAGAAAUUCAAGGAGAACCAAAUAAAUGGAAAGACAUACAAUGUUCAUGGAUAGGAUAACUCAACAAUGUUAAAAUGCUGAUUCUCUUCAAAUUGACCUAUUGAUUUAAAGAAAUCUUAAAAUCCAGGAAGCAUUCUUUGUAGAGGUAGACACUUCCAUUUUGAAAUUAAUUAAUUUUGAGACUGGGUCUCACCAUGUAGGUCAAAGUGUCCUGAAACUCCCUAUAUCCACCUGCCUCUGCCUUCUGGGUGCUAGGAUUAAAGGUGUGCACUACCGUGUUCAGUUGAUUAUGACAUUUAUGUGAAAACUCAAAGGGCACAGAAUUGCCAAAAUUUAUUUGAAAAUAAAAGUAACACACUAUACAGUUAUGAGAAUCAUGGGGCUGGAGAGACAGCUCAGAUGUUAAGAGCACUUGCUGAUAUGGAAGAGAAUCAGGGUUCUGUCCUCAGGACCACAAGGCAGCUUACAACUGUCUGUAACUCUAGAUCUGGGGGGGGGGUCACAAUGCCCAAUUCUGGAUUCUGUUGGCACCUAUGCUUCUGCAUUCAGUGUACUCAAGCACAUAAAAUAAAAAUAAAUAUUUUUCCUUUGAGACAGGAUAUCUCUCUCCAGUCCUGGCUGUCCUGGAACUUGCUGUGUAGACUAGCCUUGAAUUCACAAGAUCCACUUGCCUCAGUUUCCUGGGUGCUGAGAUAAAGGCUUGCACCACUACACCCGUCAUAAAUAACAGGCAGCCUUGAAAACAUACACACAAGGAACUAUCCAGACUUAGCAGGAUAUACUUAGGAAUAUAUAUGUACAUACAUAUAUGCAUAUAGUAGCAAUUAAUGAAAAAGAGCUCAUGAAUUUGAAGGAGGGUGGGGAAGGAUGUACGGGAGAGUUUGGAAGGAGAAAAGGGAAAGGAGAAGUGCUAUAACUACAUUAUAAUCUCAAAAUAAAUGAAUAAAUAAAUAAAUAUUAUGGGAAUACUGAGUAUGGUGGCCAAAAGCUAGCAGUUGCAGUCACUUGAAACAGUCCACCCCAGUGACUACCCAAAUACAAAGUUUCUAUUAUUCUCCCAGACAAAGGGCACACAGCAACAUUCCCAAGGGAAUUUUACCCAGAGUUCACCAAUUCCCUUGAUUUGCUCAAAGUCUAAGAUCUUUCUUGUUGUGCGAUGCCCCCUCAGGUUCAGAUGUGGGGUGAGUGUGGUCUGAAAGGUAUAAAGUCAAAGGUAAUUAUCACUUUGAUACACCAAAGAGUAGAGUCACCAAUGUAGUAAGACCAUUUAAAAUUUCAUUUGCGGGAUUGUGGGGCGAGUCAGUAGGGAAGGCAGUCUGUUCCAAACCUGCUGGCCUGCAUCAGUUCAGGGUUCUAGGCAGUGACUCGGAUUCCCUUAAGCUGUUCUCUGACCUCCACAUAUGCAUGGUGGCAUGUGCACGCCCCCAUGAAAAUGUACUUUAACAUAAAGCAAUAAUGGCGGUGCGUGGAGGCACGUAACUUAAUCCCAGCACCAAGGAAGCAAACACUGGUGAAUUCUGUGAGUUUGAAGCUAGCCUGGUCUCCCUAGCAAGUACCAGGUGAGCCAGGGUUCCACAGUGAGGCUCUGUCUCAAAUAAUUGUAAACAAAUAACCUCGUGCAAGACUUGUUUCCGUUCAUGGUAAGUUAUUUCAGUUAUUUUUCUAGCUGUUUGUAACUCUCAAACGUGAAUACCUUUCCAAUUCUUUAAGUGAAUACAUGACAUGAAAAGGUAAUAAAAUACAGAGGUCAGCUGGGAGUGUAGCUCAAUAGGGGAGAAUGUGUUAGGCUCUGGGCCCAACCCCAUCACUGACCCCCUAAACAACAAAACACAAAC
Alexandromys fortis (reed vole) is the source of this 4113-nucleotide long non-coding RNA. RefSeq lists it as uncharacterized. The record is from RefSeq and is a predicted model, not a curated record. The transcript is spliced from 2 exons. Lineage: Eukaryota; Metazoa; Chordata; Mammalia; Rodentia; Cricetidae.